GAAGGCAUCACUCACAAGCUUGCCCUUAGUGGAGGACUUGUCCGCGCAUUCCUUUGAACCUUCGUCUUUCGAGCAACACCUGAUCUGGGGUCGCACUGAAGCACAACCAUGCCAAGAACUGAAGAACGCAGCAUGAUGGCAAUGCCAAAUCCUGCAAAUUUGCUGCCCAAGAACGAGCACUCUGAGCACGCUCCAGACCACCAGUAGAGAAAGAAAAAAUUCACCUUUAUUCGGCUGGCGGGCUCCUCUACCGACGGAGGCGGCUCGGUAGCGCGAGAAGAACGCAGGGGAGAUGGACGAGACCGGUGAGAGGAGCGAGUGGCAGCCGGUGCCUGCCAUUGCCGCCUGCCUCUCUCGGCGUUGUGAGGACGAGAAGAGGAGGGGAGCGAGCGGCUGGAGAUUGGGUUCGGCCCCGAUCAUAUUUGGGUGUUUGGGUCCGACCGAGCCAGGCCGGCUUCUGCUCAGUCUCAGACCGAAGAGGCCGAACCGAUGGGAAGUGGCCGCGCCGCCCAGGCACACGCUUCUGUAUCAGGCGGCGCCGGCAGCAGUAGGAGCUUGGCGGAGGAUAAAAAGCCGCCCUUCCGGCCCGCCCCGGACGACACCAAGCCCGUCCUCCGCGACCCGAUCUCGCGGUCGGACCCCGUGGAGGUCGAGCAGGCGGUGCUGCGGCCACCACCCUUCCCCUGACACCGUGCGUUUGUGCCAGGUGCGACCUCUUGGUGGACAAUUCCGCUCCUGCCUAGUGUUUCGUUCACAUAUUUUUGUUGAGAAAAUUGCAUAUACAAUACCAAGACAAUGUAUAUUAUCCAGUACUCCACUAAAUGAAAAUCCUACGCAGAACGUUGUUAAUUUCGAAAUUUAAAUUGGUUUGUUGUCUUGGAUUUUC
Molecule: long non-coding RNA, 886 nt
Organism: Phragmites australis (common reed)
Lineage: Eukaryota; Viridiplantae; Streptophyta; Magnoliopsida; Poales; Poaceae
Exons: 3
Source: RefSeq, a predicted model, not a curated record